RNAcentral lists this long non-coding RNA (441 nucleotides) under Mus spicilegus (steppe mouse). RNAcentral describes it as "lncRNA (ENSMSIG00000001815.1)". The record is from RNAcentral. Lineage: Eukaryota; Metazoa; Chordata; Mammalia; Rodentia; Muridae.
CAGCAAAUGAGCACAUGGAUGAGAGUAACCCCAGGAUGAGGUCUUCUCGAGGAGAUCACUUCCUGCCUAAUUCAGCUGAACUCCCAGCCAACUGGAACUCGACUUUGAGUUCUCAGCAGCUCAGCUGUUCAAAGACAGAUGGCUUAGGACUCAAAGAGGAAGGACACCCACAGCGGUCAAGGCCAGGAGACAUCCAAAGUACAGAGACUGCACUGUGGUCACUUGACUUCACCUGCUCUCAGGAUGCCUCUUGCACAGCUGACUCCAGUAUUUCCACCUUGCAAGAAGCAAGCCUCUGUACCUCCUCUUCACUUCUCAGACGAUGGCCCUGGCCAUCUCACUGUUCCUAUUGCCAGAAUUCCUCUCUUAUGCUGAGUGAAUGUGGACAUCUUCAAACAAGCUCCUGCUUAUCUGCUCUGGACAAACAGAGCUGUUCUUCAG